ACUUAUUAUUAUUAUCAAUACAAAAAAUCUUCAAUUAUAGUUUCUUUAAAUUAAGGCUACCAUACAAUAGUGUACAAGUUUAUAUUUAUAAGGUGCUUCAAUGUUUGAUAAACUUCUCAAAAAAUACUUUUGAUGAAAGACAUAUUUAUAGACAACAAGCUCAUUGAUUGUCUUACCAUAUUAUGACUUCUUGACUAUCUUUGCACAAUAUGAGCUAAAUUAAAAUUACAAAUUAAGUGUAUCACCUUCAAUUUAAUUAAAAUACAUAUCCAAAAAAAAAGUAUUAAUGAACUUGGAUCCUUGGAAUUACAUUAAAGCCAAAAAUAGUAUGAUAAAAUUUGUACAAUACAUAGACAUCAACAAAAGAGACAAAGAAAAAAUGUAUCAAAAAGUACCAAAAAAGACCACACCAAAUU
Molecule: long non-coding RNA, 416 nt
Filed under: Physcomitrium patens
Lineage: Eukaryota; Viridiplantae; Streptophyta; Bryopsida; Funariales; Funariaceae
Description: long non-coding RNA (PPAT_LNC006572)
Source: RNAcentral